Molecule: ribosomal RNA, 1349 nt
Filed under: metagenome
Description: bacterial LSU rRNA
Rfam family: Bacterial large subunit ribosomal RNA
Source: RNAcentral
UUGGGGAGCGAAAUUUAGUAGCGAAGUUCCUGAUGUCACACUGCCAAGAAAAGCUUCUAGUGAGAAAGUAACUGCCCGUACCGCAAACCGACACAGGUAGUAGAGGAGAGAAUCCUAAGGUGUGCGAGAGAACUCUCGUUAAGGAACUCGGCAAAAUGACCCCGUAACUUCGGGAGAAGGGGUGCUGACCGCAAGGUCAGCCGCAGUGAAUAGGCCCAAGCGACUGUUUAUCAAAAACACAGGUCUCUGCAAAAUCGAAAGAUGACGUAUAGGGGCUGACGCCUGCCCGGUGCUGGAAGGUUAAGAGGAGAGGUUAGCGCAAGCGAAGCUUUGAAUUGAAGCCCCAGUAAACGGCGGCCGUAACGAUAACGGUCCUAAGGUAGCGAAAUUCCUUGUCGGGUAAGUUCCGACCCGCACGAAAGGCGUAACGAUUUGGGCACUGUCUCAACGAGAGACUCGGUGAAAUUAUAGUACCAGUGAAGAUGCUGGUUACCCGCGACAGGACGGAAAGACCCCAUGGAGCUUUACUGCAGUUUGAUAUUGCGUGUUUGUAUCACAUGUACAGGAUAGGUAGGAGCCGAAGAUACCGGGACGCCAGUCUCGGAGGAGGCAACGGUGGGAUACUACCCUUGUGAUAUGACCACUCUAACCCGCUGCUCUUAGCGAGCAGGGAGACAGUGUCAGACGGGCAGUUUGACUGGGGCGGUCGCCUCCAAAAAUGUAACGGAGGCGCCCAAAGGUUCCCUCAGAAUGGUUGGAAAUCAUUCGUAGAGUGUAAAGGCAGAAGGGAGCUUGACUGCGAGACCUACAAGUCGAGCAGGGACGAAAGUCGGGCUUAGUGAUCCGGUGGUUCCGCAUGGAAGGGCCAUCGCUCAACGGAUAAAAGCUACCCUGGGGAUAACAGGCUUAUCUCCCCCAAGAGUUCACAUCGACGGGGAGGUUUGGCACCUCGAUGUCGGCUCAUCGCAUCCUGGGGCUGUAGUCGGUCCCAAGGGUUGGGCUGUUCGCCCAUUAAAGCGGUACGCGAGCUGGGUUCAGAACGUCGUGAGACAGUUCGGUCCCUAUCCGUCGCGGGCGUUGGAAAUUUGAGAGGAGCUGUCCUUAGUACGAGAGGACCGGGAUGGACACACCGCUGGUGUACCAGUUGUUCUGCCAAGAGCAUCGCUGGGUAGCUAUGUGUGGACGGGAUAAACGCUGAAAGCAUCUAAGCGUGAAGCCCCCCUCAAGAUGGGAUUUCCCAUCACUUUAAGUGAGUAAGACCCCUGAGAGAUGAUCAGGUAGAUAGGUUGGGAGUGGAAGUACAGCGAUGUAUGGAGCGGACCAAUACUAAUCGGUCGAGGACUUAACCG